AUGAGGUCAGGAUGAAUGGAAUAACCGGGUUUAGCUGUCUCUGUGUCACUAUAUUGAAUUUACUAUCUAAGUGAAAAAGCUUAGGGUUAAAAAAGGGAGGAGAAGACCCUUAGAAUUUUUUUUAAAAGAAAAUAAAAUUUUCUUACAAUUUUAUUGGGGCGAUAAAGAAAUAAUUAAAACUUUCUUUUAUUACAAGCCGAUUAUAUUAAGUGAGAAUAAAUUACCUGAGGGAUAACAGCAUAAUUCUAUAAAUGAGUUUGUGACCUCGAUGUUGGACUAGGAAACUAGCAGGCUAGCCGUUUGCUGUGUUAGGUUCUGUUCGAACUUUUAUUCCUACAUGAUCUGAGUUCAGACCGGCGUAA
Molecule: ribosomal RNA, 362 nt
Filed under: Spurilla braziliana
Lineage: Eukaryota; Metazoa; Mollusca; Gastropoda; Nudibranchia; Aeolidiidae
Description: partial 16S ribosomal RNA
Source: RNAcentral